UACCAAGGUCUAAAGGUCAUUCACCCGCAUGAGCUUGCUCAUAAGUGGGUGAAUGACCUUGUGACCCGCCCCAAUAUUCGCAUAAAAGUGGGAUGAUAGUCCCACGAUAUGCGAAUAUUGGGUAGAAUUGUGGGAGUGUGUAGCACGGAACAAUUCGUAGGUAUC
RNAcentral lists this small RNA (165 nucleotides) under uncultured Lachnospira sp. Its description in RNAcentral is "Clostridiales-1 RNA". It matches the Rfam family "Clostridiales-1 RNA". Lineage: Bacteria; Bacillati; Bacillota; Clostridia; Lachnospirales; Lachnospiraceae. The record is from RNAcentral.